Molecule: small nucleolar RNA, 147 nt
Filed under: Pelusios castaneus (West African mud turtle)
Lineage: Eukaryota; Metazoa; Chordata; Testudines; Pelomedusidae
Source: RNAcentral
CUUCAGUGAUGAUGCGAUGACGAGUCAGAAAGGACAUUGCUUGUCGAAGUGUAGCCUGUUCAGCGCCAUGUUCUUUGACGCUGUCCCUGGGUACCUUCCCAGCAUGUCCUGGUCAUUGGAUGAUUUCGAGGCAUUUGUCUGAGAAGG